Molecule: transfer RNA, 63 nt
Filed under: Anterastes babadaghi
Lineage: Eukaryota; Metazoa; Arthropoda; Insecta; Orthoptera; Tettigoniidae
Description: tRNA-Cys
Source: RNAcentral
GGCUUUAUAGUCAAAAAUGAUAUCAGACUGCAAUUCUGAAGGAGUAGUUAGCUACUAAGGCUU